Molecule: long non-coding RNA, 563 nt
Organism: Myotis brandtii (Brandt's bat)
Lineage: Eukaryota; Metazoa; Chordata; Mammalia; Chiroptera; Vespertilionidae
Exons: 3
Source: RefSeq, a predicted model, not a curated record
GGGCCAGUUUGACUCCUUCGUGGUCCAGUACAAGGACAGGGAGGGGCGGCCCCAGGUGCUGCCUGUGGAGGGCGGCCUCAGGGAGGCCCGGGUCUGGGGCCUGGACGCCGCCCGCAGGUACAAGCUGCUGCUCUACGGGCUGCACCAGGGCAGGCGCGUGGGGCCCCUCUCGGCCUUCGCUGUGACAGCCCCCAGGGAGGACAACGGAGCUGAGACCACAGCCCCAAGCCCUCCAGAGUCAGAGCUCCAGCUCGGGGAGCUGACCGUGGCCGAGGCCACCCCGCACACCCUGCACCUGUCCUGGACGGUCACGGAGGGGGAACCGGACUCUUUCGAGGUCCAAUACACAGACCAGGAUGGGCAACUCCAAGUUGUCAGUUUAGGGGGCAACCAGAAUGACAUCACCCUCUCGGGCCUGGAACCCAACCACAGCUACCUGGUGAACGUGUACGCUGUCCGGGGCCCCCAGCGUCUGGGUCCCAUCCAGGUCAAGGCCCUGACAGCCCCAAGGGAAGAGGAGGAGGAACCGUCAGAACCUCCUACCACGACCCCUGAGCCUCCCG